Long non-coding RNA from Mauremys reevesii (Reeves's turtle), 791 nucleotides. RefSeq lists it as uncharacterized. The transcript has 4 exons. Lineage: Eukaryota; Metazoa; Chordata; Testudines; Geoemydidae. The record is from RefSeq and is a predicted model, not a curated record.
CCACAGCUGUGGUAGCUUCUGUGUCUGCUUGUUCCCAGGCAUGAUCCUGCCUUGGCCCCAGCCUUCCCUUAUGUCAGCCCAUAUGAUGGAUUGAAGAAGAUAAAUUUGCCUGGAGUCUUUGCAUACGUGAUCCCUGUCAAAUAAAACCAGCGGUGCGCAUCAUGACCAGAAGCGUGUGGGGCAUUGUGGGACGGCUUCUGAAAGCCAGCAACAGUCAAUGUAAGCAACACAGCGUCUACACAAGACUGUGUUGAUCUAACUACAUCAACAUUGGCUCUACGCCACUCGUGGAGGUGGAGUUAUUAAGUCGAUGCAGCAGAUGGUGUUCUGCAGAUCUGAAAUGAAAUGAAGACUAUUUUUCAAUCUGUCAUGAAACUACACCUAGGGAGGAGUGCUGCUGAUUUACUGGUUUAUGGACACAAAGUCCACUAAGGAAUGCUAGCUAUUGAAUUUGGAACUCUGAAUUACCUGAAGUAUGGACAUCGUGUGUAAACAGUUAAAUCCUUAGAAACUGAAGUUGUAUUCUAAACCCUUUGUGGUAGGAACUGUCUGUCUCUAUGUGCUGAUACAGUACCUAUACACAAUGAAACAUUAAUCCUGUCUGGAGUCCAUGAAUGGAGCUACUGUAAUACAAAUAAUAAAUAACCAUCCUUUGUAUUUAGCCCAAGGACGGUCUAGAGUAAGUUACAAUUAAUUUAAUUUAAUUAAUUACAAUUAAAUAAGUUACAAAGUUACAUUUGUUUUUGAUACACCCACUUCAGAGGGAGUAUACAAAUGAUUAGUAUGCUUCU